ACGGGAGGCAGCAGUGGGGAAUAUUGGGCAAUGGGCGAAAGCCUGACCCAGCAACGCCGCGUGAAGGAAGAAGGUCUUCGGAUUGUAAACUUCUUUUAUGAGGGACGAAGGCCGUGACGGUACCUCAUGAAUGAGCCACGGCUAACUACGUGCCAGCAGCCGCGGUAAUACGUAGGUGGCAAGCGUUAUCCGGAUUUACUGGGUGUAAAGGGCGCGUAGGCGGGGAUGCAAGUCAGAUGUGAAAUCCAUGGGCUUAACUCAUGAACUGAAUUUGAAACUGUAUCUCUUGAGUGCUGGAGAGGUAGAUGGAAUUCCUUGUGUAGCGGUGAAAUGCGUAGAUAUAAGGAAGAACACCAGUGGCGAAGGCGAUCUACUGGACAGUAACUGACGCUGAGGCGCGAAAGCGUGGGGAGCAAACAGGAUUAGAUACCCUGGUA
RNAcentral lists this ribosomal RNA (437 nucleotides) under uncultured Oscillospiraceae bacterium. RNAcentral's name for it is "partial 16S ribosomal RNA". It matches the Rfam family "Bacterial small subunit ribosomal RNA", at positions 341 to 792 of the family's 1533-position model. Lineage: Bacteria; Bacillati; Bacillota; Clostridia; Eubacteriales; Oscillospiraceae. The record is from RNAcentral.